GCCCAGGGCACAAGGCUUGGUUAUGUAAUCACAGGUUUUCUCGAUAAAGAAACCUCAUCUGAUACGGAAAUCAACCCUAUUCUGGUACAAGACAGAGAUGAUCUUGCAGGACCGAGCGCUGCUUAUCAGCAAACGAAAGAUAAAAAUCCAGUGAAUGAUAUUGAAGGUAGCAAACGGUAGAAUGAGAUUUCACUCGAUGAAAAAAGGAUUAAUUUAACGAACUUAGCAUUGAUAGAUCAUAAAAUAAAGGAGCAUGAAGAUAUAAGUAGCCAAUCAAGAACUAACGACACUGACUCGUCCGAUCGAGGAUCAACCGCUAUACAUUAUAGUUCAUUGCAGCUAACUGAACUUUAUACUACAAAAGAAAAACCAAUUGAUACAGAACCGACUUCCCAUCAACUUAAAACCAAUAAGAAGCCUGACUUUUGUUCAACAUUUUUAAAUUUAACGAAGAAAUACGGACUCCCACAAGUAGAGGCCUUGAAGCAGACUUACAUCCUCGAACAUCAACCUGGAAGGUUCUGACAAAAAGAAUUGAGCGGUGGAGGUCAAAGUAUGUCGGGGGAAGAAUGCUUCUAAACUUAAAGAGGCUUUAAAGAUACCGUUGACCACCCGACGCAUUUGCACAGAAGCGUUAUGCAGACACAUGAAACCAAACUGAAGAUUCGGACUUGCGUCCUGGAAGAGAUGAACACCAAAAACCUUUUUUAGGUUGAGAAGAUAACAUGAAAGAAGAAAUAUAACAUUAAAGAGACGCGUGAAGGAACGAAAUAGCUGCGACUGGCAGAGCUUUAGCCAACCAGCGGAUUCCUUAGAUAUUUUAUUAUUUUUUAUUCAUAAGCUGUUUUCACUAAUACGCCACAAAGCCGCUAGGGGUUUUACAGGCUAAUUGGCGCUAUAGGCUUGGUGGGGCGCAAUAGGCUACGUGUGUUAGCGAAAAAAGCAGAGUUG
Drosophila suzukii is the source of this 951-nucleotide non-coding RNA. NCBI's taxonomy places the organism in Eukaryota, Metazoa, Arthropoda, Insecta, Diptera, Drosophilidae. The record is from RefSeq and is a predicted model, not a curated record.